AGAUUUUUCUUCUUAUUCAGCUUAGAUCUCAGUGUGGAAAUUACUGAAUCAUCGAGAGUUGUUCCUGAACUUGAUACGACUGUCUUCAACGUCGUUGUGUUUUUUGUAUCAUGUGUAAAGGCGGGUAAUGAUCCGGAGCCGAUCUCAGAAUCGUCGGAAUUGAACGAGAUGUUGAUCGGAUCGUAGAGGAAUGAGAUUUUUUUGUUAGGGUUACGGGCUACGAUGGAGAGAUUGAACUUGGAAGCGAGUUUUGUUGAGGUGAGAUUGAAUUGAGAGACUUGAAGAGUUGAAACGGAGAAUGAUGGCCUCUGAGGUCGGUAAAGCACCCAGAAAAUAGCACCGGCAAUUGCAGCAAGGAGGAUAAGAAUGACUAUGAGGAAGGUAAUGAAGAGGCAACAACAACAGCAACAGCUCCGGCGGUGUUUCCGGCGGGGUGGCGGCACGGGACGGUAAGUAGGGCGUGCAGCGUUGUAAAGCUGAGCUUUGUUCGCCGGAAAAGCUGGAUU
This 506-nucleotide long non-coding RNA is filed under the name Capsicum annuum. Its description in RNAcentral is "long non-coding RNA (CANN_LNC003899)". Lineage: Eukaryota; Viridiplantae; Streptophyta; Magnoliopsida; Solanales; Solanaceae. The record is from RNAcentral.